AACCUAGCACACCUGCGGUGUGUACCUGCGGAAGGAUCAUUACCUAGAGUUGCGGGCUUUGCCUGCCAUCUCUUACCCAUGUCUUUUGAGUACCUUCGUUUCCUCGGCGGGUUCGCCCGCCGGUUGGACAACACUUAAACCCUUUGUAAUUGAAAUCAGCGUCUGAAAAAACUUUAAUAGUUACAACUUUUAGCAACGGAUCU
Molecule: unclassified non-coding RNA, 203 nt
Filed under: soil metagenome
Description: partial contains 5.8S ribosomal RNA, internal transcribed spacer 2, and large subunit ribosomal RNA
Source: RNAcentral